Molecule: ribosomal RNA, 494 nt
Filed under: uncultured bacterium
Lineage: Bacteria
Description: partial 16S ribosomal RNA
Rfam family: Bacterial small subunit ribosomal RNA
Source: RNAcentral
GACGAACGCUGGCGGCGCGCUUAACACAUGCAAGUCGAACGGAAAGGCCUGCUUUCCCUUGUGGACUGCGGGUACUCGAGUGGCGAACGGGUGAGUAACACGUGAGUGAUCUGCCCCCAACUUGGGUAUAAGCCUGGGAAACUGGGUCUAAUUCCCGAUAGGACUGCAGGGUGGUGCCUGUGGUGGAACACGAUUUUCUAGUGGUUGGGGAUGAGCUCGCGGCCUAUCAGCUUGUUGGUGGGGUAAUGGCCUACCAAGGCGGCGACGGGUAGCCGGCCUGAGAGGGUGGACGGGCACAUUGGGACUGAGAUACGGCCCAGACUCCUACGGGAGGCAGCAGUGGGGAAUAGUGCACAAUGGGCGGAAGCCUGAUGCAGCGACGCCGCGUGGGGGAUGACGGCCUUCGGGUUGUAAACUCCUUUCGACCGCGAGGAAGCCACCUGGUUGGAAGGGUGGUGACGGUAGUGGUAGAAGAAGCACCGGCUAACUACGUG